UACGAAGGUGGCAAGCGUUGUCCGGAAUCACUGGGCGUAAAGGGCGCGUAGGCGGCCCGGUAAGUAGGGGGUGAAAUCUUGCGGCUUAACCGCAAGGCUGCCUUCUAAACUGCCAGGCUCGAGCACAGUAGAGGCAGGUGGAAUUCCCGGUGUAGCGGUGGAAUGCGUAGAGAUCGGGAAGAACAUCGGUGGCGAAGGCGGCCUGCUGGGCUGUUGCUGACGCUGAGGCGCGACAGCGUGGGGAGCAAACAGG
RNAcentral lists this ribosomal RNA (253 nucleotides) under uncultured bacterium. Its description in RNAcentral is "partial 16S ribosomal RNA". It matches the Rfam family "Bacterial small subunit ribosomal RNA", at positions 524 to 776 of the family's 1533-position model. The record is from RNAcentral.